UACACUCCUGCGGGAGGCAGCAGUGGGGAAUAUUGCACAAUGGGCGCAAGCCUGAUGCAGCCAUGCCGCGUGUAUGAAGAAGGCCUUCGGGUUGUAAAGUACUUUCAGCGGGGAGGAAGGCGAUAAGGUUAAUAACCUUGUUGAUUGACGUUACCCGCAGAAGAAGCACCGGCUAACUCCGUGCCAGCAGCCGCGGUAAUACGGAGGGUGCAAGCGUUAAUCGGAAUUACUGGGCGUAAAGCGCACGCAGGCGGUCUGUCAAGUCGGAUGUGAAAUCCCCGGGCUCAACCUGGGAACUGCAUUCGAAACUGGCAGGCUAGAGUCUUGUAGAGGGGGGUAGAAUUCCAGGUGUAGCGGUGAAAUGCGUAGAGAUCUGGAGGAAUACCGGUGGCGAAGGCGGCCCCCUGGACAAAGACUGACGCUCAGGUGCGAAAGCGUGGGGAGCAAACAGGAUUAGAAACCCUUGUAGUCCCA
Molecule: ribosomal RNA, 474 nt
Filed under: uncultured organism
Description: partial 16S ribosomal RNA
Rfam family: Bacterial small subunit ribosomal RNA
Source: RNAcentral